GAUGAACGCUAGCUACAGGCUUAACACAUGCAAGUCGAGGGGAAACGACAUCGAAAGCUUGCUUUUGAUGGGCGUCGACCAGCGCACGGGUGAGUAACGCGUAUCCAACCUGCCCAUCACUUGGGAAUAACCUUGCGAAAGUAAGACUAAUACCCAAUGACAUCCCACGAAGACAUCUGAAUGGGAUUAAAGAUUUAUCGGUGAUGGAUGGGGAUGCGUCUGAUUAGCUUGUUGGCGGGGUAACGGCCCACCAAGGCAACGAUCAGUAGGGGUUCUGAGAGGAAGGUCCCCCACAUUGGAACUGAGACACGGUCCAAGCUCCUACGGGAGGCAGCAGUGAGGAAUACUGGUCAAUGGACGAGAGCCUGAACCAGCCAAGUAGCGUGCAGGAUGACGGCCCUAUGGGUUGUAAACUGCUUUUAUAAGGGAAUAAAGUGGGUCUCGUGAGACUUUUUGCAUGUACCUUAUGAAUAAGGACCGGCUAAUUCCGUG
This 492-nucleotide ribosomal RNA is filed under the name uncultured bacterium. RNAcentral describes it as "partial 16S ribosomal RNA". It matches the Rfam family "Bacterial small subunit ribosomal RNA", at positions 28 to 507 of the family's 1533-position model. The record is from RNAcentral.